RNAcentral lists this ribosomal RNA (1009 nucleotides) under Pseudomonas sp. RNAcentral's name for it is "bacterial SSU rRNA". It matches the Rfam family "Bacterial small subunit ribosomal RNA", at positions 53 to 1056 of the family's 1533-position model. The record is from RNAcentral. Lineage: Bacteria; Pseudomonadati; Pseudomonadota; Gammaproteobacteria; Pseudomonadales; Pseudomonadaceae.
ANAUGCAGUCGAGCGGUAGAGAGGUGCUUGCACCUCUUGAGAGCGGCGGACGGGUGAGUAAUGCCUAGGAAUCUGCCUGGUAGUGGGGGAUAACGCUCGGAAACGGACGCUAAUACCGCAUACGUCCUACGGGAGAAAGCAGGGGACCUUCGGGCCUUGCGCUAUCAGAUGAGCCUAGGUCGGAUUAGCUAGUUGGUGGGGUAAUGGCUCACCAAGGCGACGAUCCGUAACUGGUCUGAGAGGAUGAUCAGUCACACUGGAACUGAGACACGGUCCAGACUCNUACGGGAGGCAGCAGUGGGGAAUAUUGGACAAUGGGCGAAAGCCUGAUCCAGCCAUGCCGCGUGUGUGAAGAAGGUCUUCGGAUUGUAAAGCACUUUAAGUUGGGAGGAAGGGCAUUAACCUAAUACGUUAGUGUUUUGACGUUACCGACAGAAUAAGCACCGGCUAACUCUGUGCCAGCAGCCGCGGUAAUACAGAGGGUGCAAGCGUUAAUCGGAAUUACUGGGCGUAAAGCGCGCGUAGGUGGUUCGUUAAGUUGGAUGUGAAAUCCCCGGGCUCAACCUGGGAACUGCAUUCAAAACUGUCGAGCUAGAGUAUGGUAGAGGGUGGUGGAAUUUCCUGUGUAGCGGUGAAAUGCGUAGAUAUAGGAAGGAACACCAGUGGCGAAGGCGACCACCUGGACUGAUACUGACACUGAGGUGCGAANGCGUGGGGAGCAAACAGGAUUAGAUACCCUGGUAGUCCACGCCGUAANCGAUGUCAACUAGCCGUUGGGAGCCUUGAGCUCUUAGUGGCGCAGCUAACGCAUUAAGUUGACCGCCUGGGGAGUACGGCCGCAAGGUUAAAACUCAAAUGAAUUGACGGGGGCCCGCACAAGCGGUGGAGCAUGUGGUUUAAUUCGAAGCAACGCGAAGAACCUUACCAGGCCUUGACAUCCAAUGAACUUUCCANNNAUGGAUUGGGUGCCUUCGGGAANNNUUGANACAGGUGCUGCAUGGCUNNCGUC